GCACUGUUGAAGAGUCCCACAAUAGGACGAAUCGACCGUCCAGUGU
This is a non-coding RNA of Schistosoma rodhaini, 46 nucleotides long. The record is from Rfam. NCBI's taxonomy places the organism in Eukaryota, Metazoa, Platyhelminthes, Trematoda, Strigeidida, Schistosomatidae.